This 391-nucleotide ribosomal RNA is filed under the name uncultured bacterium. RNAcentral's name for it is "partial 16S ribosomal RNA". It matches the Rfam family "Bacterial small subunit ribosomal RNA", at positions 523 to 917 of the family's 1533-position model. The record is from RNAcentral.
AUACGGAGGAUGCGAGCGUUAUCCGGAUUUAUUGGGUUUAAAGGGAGCGUAGGCGGGAGCUUAAGUCAGCGGUUAAAUGGUGCGGCUCAACCGUGCCCUGCCGUUGAAACUGGGUUUCUUGAGAGUGCAAGAGGCGGAUGGAAUUCCUGGUGUAGCGGUGAAAUGCUUAGAUAUCAUGAAGAACUCCGAUUGCGAAGGCAGUCCGCUGGGGCACGUCUGACGCUGAUGCUCGAAGGUGCGGGAAUCAAACAGGAUUAGAUACCCUGGUAGUCCGCACGGUAAACGAUGAUUACCCGCUGUCGGCGGCAGACAGUCGGCGGCCAAGCGAAAGCGAUAAGUAAUCCACCUGGGGAGUACGCCGGCAACGGUGAAACUCAAAGGAAUUGACGGG